Molecule: long non-coding RNA, 3763 nt
Organism: Oncorhynchus keta (chum salmon)
Lineage: Eukaryota; Metazoa; Chordata; Actinopteri; Salmoniformes; Salmonidae
Exons: 3
Source: RefSeq, a predicted model, not a curated record
CCUACGCCCUGACGGAGCCCUACGCCCUGACGGAGCCCUACGCCCUGACGGAGCCCUACGCUCUGACACAAUGCAGAUAUCCCGGUUAGCCAAUGUGCGGGUGCACUGGUUGGUCGGGCCAAUUGAGGUAGUAUGUACAUGAAUGUAUAGUUAAAGUGACUAUGCAUAUAAGAUAAACAGAGAGUAGCAGCAGUGUAAAAGAAGAGUUGGGGGUGACACAAUGCAAAUAGUCCAGGUAGCCAUUUGGUUACAUUUUCAGGAGUCUUAUGGCUUGGGGAUAAAAUCUGUUGAGAAGCCUUUUUGUCCUAGACUUGGCCCCAAUGAUGUACUGGGCUGUACGCACUACGCUCUGAAGUGCCUUGCGGUCGGGGGGCCGAGCAAUUGCCGUACCAGGCAGUGAUGCAACCAGUCAGGAUGCUCUCGAUGGUGUAGCUGUAGAACCUUAUGGGGAUCUCAGGACCCAUGCCAAAUCUUUUUAGAUUCCUGAGGGGGAAUUGGCUUUGACAUGCCCUCUUCAUGACUGUCUUGGUGUGUUUGGACCAUUCUAGUUUGUUGGUGAUGUGGACGCCAAGGAACUUGAAGCUCUCAACCAGCUCCACUACAGCCCCGUCGAUGAGAAUGGGGGUGUGCUCAGUCCUCUUCCUGUAGUCCACAAUCAUCUCCUUAGUCUUGGUUACGUUGAGGAAUAGGUUGUUAUUCUGGCACCACCAGGCCAGGUCUCUGACCUCCUCUCUAUUGGCUGUCUCGUCGUUGUUGGUGAUCAGGUCUACUGUUGUGUUGUCUGCAAACUUUUUUUAAAUGUACAUGUUUUACUUUUAUUUAACCAGGCAAGUCAGUUAAAGAACAAAUUCAUAUUUUCAAUGACUGCCUAGGAACAGUGCCUUGUUCAGGGGCAGAACGACAGAUUUUUACCUUGUCAGCUCGGGGAUUUCGGUUACUGUCCCAACGCUCUUAUCACAAGGCUACCUACCGCCACUAACAAACUUAAAGAUGGUGUUGGAGUCGUGCAGUCGUGUGUGAACAGGGAGUACAGGAGGGGACUGCGCACACACCCCUGAGGAGCUCCAGUGUUGAGGAUCAGCGUGGCAGAUGUUUCUACCUACACCCUAACUAACCCCUACACCCUAACUAACCCCUACACCCUAACUAACCCCUACACCCUAACUGCCCCCUACACGCUAACUAACCCCUACACCCUACAGUUGUGCAAGUCAGAAGUUUACAUACACCUCAGCCAAAAACAUUUAAACUCUGUCUUUGUUCAGUUAGGAUCACCACUUUAUUUUAAGAAUGUGAAAUGUCAGAAUAAUAGUACAGAAAAUGUUUUAUUUCAGCUUUUAUUUCUUUCAUCACAUUCCCAGUGGGUCAGAAGUUUACAUACACUCAAUUAGUAUUUGGUAGCAUUGCCUUUAAAUGGUUUAACUUGGGUCAAACAUUUCAGGUAGUCUUCCACAAGCUUCCCACAAUAAGAUGGGUAAAUAUUGGCCCAUUCCUCCUGACAGAGCUGGUGUAACCAAGUCAGGUUUGUAGGCCUCCUGACAGAGCUGCUGUAACUGAGUCAGGUUUGUAGGCCUCCUGACAGAGCUGCUGUAACUGAGUCAGGUUUGUAGGCCUCCUGACAGAGCUGCUGUAACUGAGUCAGGUUUGUAGGCCUCCUGACAGAGCUGGUGUAACUGAGUCAGGUUUGUAGGCCUCCUGACAGAGCUGGUGUAACUGAGUCAGGUUUGUAGGCCUCCUGACAGAGCUGGUGUAACUGAGUCAGGUUUGUAGGCCUCCUGACAGAGCUGGUGUAACUGAGGCAGGUUUGUAGGCCUCCUGACAGAGCUGGUGUAACUGAGGCAGGUUUGUAGGCCUCCUGACAGAGCUGGUGUAACUGAGGCAGGUUUGUAGGCCUCCUGACAGAGCUGGUGUAACUGAGGCAGGUUUGUAGGCCUCCUGACAGAGCUGGUGUAACUGAGGCAGGUUUGUAGGCCUCCUGACAGAGCUGGUGUAACUGAGGCAGGUUUGUAGGCCUCCUGACAGAGCUGGUGUAACUGAGGCAGGUUUGUAGGCCUCCUGACAGAGCUGGUGUAACUGAGUCAGGUUUGUAGGCCUCCUGACAGAGCUGGUGUAACUGAGUCAGGUUUGUAGGCCUCCUGACAGAGCUGGUGUAACUGAGUCAGGUUUGUAGGCUUCCUUGCUCGAUCAUGCUUUUUCAGUUCUGCCCACAAACUUUCUAGAGGAUGGAGGUCAGGGCUUUGUGAUGGACACUCCAAUACCUUGACUUUGUUGUCCUUAAGCCAUUUUGCCACAACUUUGGAAGUAUGUUUGGGGUCAUUGUCCAUUUGGAAGACCCAUUUACAACCAAGCUUAAACUUCCUGACUGAUGUCUUGAGAUGUUGCUUCAAUAUAUCCAAGUUAUUUUCCUGCCUCAUGAAGCCAUCUAUUUUGUGAAGUGCACCAGUCCCUCCUGCAGCAAAGCACCCCCACAACAUGAUGCUGCCACCUCCGUGCUUCACGGUUGGGAUGGUGUUCUUCGGCUUGUAAGCCUCCCCCUUCUUCCUCCAAACAUAACAAUGGUCAUUAUGGCCAAACAGAUACAUUUUUGUUUCAUCAGACCAGAGGACAUUUCUCCAAAAAGUACAAUCUUUGUCCCCAUGUUCAGUUGCAAACCGUAGUCUGGCUUUUUUAUGGGGUUUUGGAGCAGUGGCUUCUUCCUUGCUGAGCGGCCUUUCAGGUUAUGUUGAUAUAGGACUCGUUUUACUGUGGAUAUAGAUACUUUUGUACCUGUUUCCUCCGUGUGGUCCUUCUGUGGCUCAGUUGGUAGAGCAUGGCGCUUGUAACGCCAGGGUAGUGGGUUCGAUUCCCAGGACCACCCAUACGUAGAAUGUAUGCACACAUGACUGUAAGUCGCUUUGGAUAAAAGCGUCAGCUAAAUGGCAUAUAUUAUUAUAUUAUUAUUAUAUUAUCUUCACAAGAUCCUUUGCUGCUGUUCUGGGAUUGAUUUGCACUUUUCACACCAAAAUACAUUCAUCUCUAAGAGACAGAACCCGUCUCCUUCCUGAGCGGUAUGACAGCUGCGUGCUCCCAUGGUGUUUAUACUUGCGUACUAUUGUUUAUACAGAUGAAUGUGGUACCUUCAGGCGUUUGGAAAUUGCUCCCAAGGAUGAACCAAACUUGUGGAGGUCUACAAUUUUUUGUUCUGAGGUCUUUGCUGAUUUAUUUAGAUUGUCCUAUGAUGUCAAGCAAAGAGGCCACUGAGUUUGAAGGUAGGCCUUGAAAUACAUCCACAGGUACACCUCCAAUUGACUCAAAUGAUGUCAUGGCUUUAGAAGCUUCUGAUAGGCUAAUUGACAUAAUUUUCUGAAAUUUUCCAAGCUGUUUUAAAGACACAGUCAACUUAGUGUAUGUAAACUUCUGACCCACUGGAAUUGUGAUACAGUGAAUUAAGUUAAAUAAUCUGUCUGUAAACAAUUGUUGUAAAAAUUACUUGUGUCAUGAACAAAGUAGAUGUCCUAACCAACAUACCAAAACAACAGUUUGUUAACAAGACAUUUGUGGAGUGGUUGAAAAACAAGUUUAAUGACUCCAACCUAAGUGUAUGUAAACUUCUGACUUCAACUGUAACUAACCCUAACUAAAGGUGACAGGUUAGUCUAACCCCUACUAACUAACUAACCCUAAUAGAAAGAACCCUUUAAUCGGUGUUGUGAUUUGGUUUGACAUUACAAAAUCAACAUUCCAUUCCUGCAGAUUCCUCCUUUAAGUAGCUGUGGAGGUUUGA